Molecule: transfer RNA, 76 nt
Filed under: Anaerofilum sp. An201
Lineage: Bacteria; Bacillati; Bacillota; Clostridia; Eubacteriales; Oscillospiraceae
Also listed under: 2 other names
Description: tRNA-Thr
Rfam family: tRNA
About the family: Transfer RNA (tRNA) molecules are approximately 80 nucleotides in length. Their secondary structure includes four short double-helical elements and three loops (D, anti-codon, and T loops).
Source: RNAcentral
GCUGGUGUAGCUCAACUGGCAGAGCAGCUGAUUUGUAAUCAGCAGGUUACGGGUUCGAUUCCUGCCACCAGCUCCA